RNAcentral lists this ribosomal RNA (500 nucleotides) under uncultured Glomeromycotina. Its description in RNAcentral is "partial small subunit ribosomal RNA". It matches the Rfam family "Eukaryotic small subunit ribosomal RNA", at positions 591 to 1092 of the family's 1831-position model. Lineage: Eukaryota; Fungi; Glomeromycota. The record is from RNAcentral.
CCAAUAGCGUAUAUUAAAGUUGUUGCAGUUAAAAAGCUCGUAGUUGAAUUUUGGGUCUGGCCGGGCGGUCCGCCCUCUGGGUGAGCACUGUUCCGACGUCGGGCCUAUCCUUCUGGUGAGUCGGCAUGUCCUUUAUUGGGUGUGUCGGGGAACCAGGACCAUUACCUUGAAAAAAUUAGAGUGUUCAAAGCAGGCGUAUGCUCGGAUACAUUAGCAUGGAAUAAUGAAAUAGGACGCGUGGUGCUAUUUUGUUGGUUUCUAGAACCGCCGUAAUGAUUAAUAGGGAUAGUUGGGGGCAUUAGUAUUCAAUUGUCAGAGGUGAAAUUCUUGGGUUUAUUGAAGACUAACUUCUGCGAAAGCAUUUGCCAAGGAUGUUUUCAUUAAUCAAGAACGAAAGUUAGGGGAUCGAAGACGAUCAGAUACCGUCGUAGUCUUAACCAUAAACUAUGCCGACUAGGAAUCGGGCGAUGUUAUUCUCAUGACUCGCCCGGCGCCUUAUG